This 253-nucleotide ribosomal RNA is filed under the name uncultured prokaryote. Its description in RNAcentral is "partial 16S ribosomal RNA". It matches the Rfam family "Bacterial small subunit ribosomal RNA", at positions 524 to 776 of the family's 1533-position model. The record is from RNAcentral.
UACGAAGGUCCCUAGCGUUGUUCGGAAUUAUUGGGCGUAAAGCGCUUGUAGGUGGCUUUGAAAGUCAGGUGUGAAAGCCCCGGGCUCAACCCGGGAAGUGCACUUGAAACUCCUUAGCUUGAGUACGGUAGAGGUGAGUGGAAUACCUGGUGUAGUGGUGAAAUACGUAGAUAUCAGGUGGAACAUCAGUGGCGAAGGCGGCUCACUGGACCAGUACUGACACUGAGAAGCGAAAGCAUGGGGAUCAAACAGG